This is a long non-coding RNA of Aethina tumida (small hive beetle), 164 nucleotides long. RefSeq lists it as uncharacterized. The transcript has 3 exons. NCBI's taxonomy places the organism in Eukaryota, Metazoa, Arthropoda, Insecta, Coleoptera, Nitidulidae. The record is from RefSeq and is a predicted model, not a curated record.
AUUUUUUAAGAUUUUUAGUGAUUUUUUAAGGUUUUUAGUAACUUUUUACGUUUUUAGUAACUUUUUACGUUUUUAGUGAUUUUUUUAGGUUUUUAGUAACUUUUUACGUUUUUAGUAACUUUUUACGUUUUUAGUGAUUUUUUAAGGUUUUUAGUAACUUUUUA